Molecule: ribosomal RNA, 885 nt
Filed under: Lacticaseibacillus paracasei
Lineage: Bacteria; Bacillati; Bacillota; Bacilli; Lactobacillales; Lactobacillaceae
Description: bacterial SSU rRNA
Rfam family: Bacterial small subunit ribosomal RNA
Source: RNAcentral
GCUUGCACCGAGAUUCAACAUGGAACGAGUGGCGGACGGGUGAGUAACACGUGGGUAACCUGCCCUUAAGUGGGGGAUAACAUUUGGAAACAGAUGCUAAUACCGCAUAGAUCCAAGAACCGCAUGGUUCUUGGCUGAAAGAUGGCGUAAGCUAUCGCUUUUGGAUGGACCCGCGGCGUAUUAGCUAGUUGGUGAGGUAAUGGCUCACCAAGGCGAUGAUACGUAGCCGAACUGAGAGGUUGAUCGGCCACAUUGGGACUGAGACACGGCCCAAACUCCUACGGGAGGCAGCAGUAGGGAAUCUUCCACAAUGGACGCAAGUCUGAUGGAGCAACGCCGCGUGAGUGAAGAAGGCUUUCGGGUCGUAAAACUCUGUUGUUGGAGAAGAAUGGUCGGCAGAGUAACUGUUGUCGGCGUGACGGUAUCCAACCAGAAAGCCACGGCUAACUACGUGCCAGCAGCCGCGGUAAUACGUAGGUGGCAAGCGUUAUCCGGAUUUAUUGGGCGUAAAGCGAGCGCAGGCGGUUUUUUAAGUCUGAUGUGAAAGCCCUCGGCUUAACCGAGGAAGCGCAUCGGAAACUGGGAAACUUGAGUGCAGAAGAGGACAGUGGAACUCCAUGUGUAGCGGUGAAAUGCGUAGAUAUAUGGAAGAACACCAGUGGCGAAGGCGGCUGUCUGGUCUGUAACUGACGCUGAGGCUCGAAAGCAUGGGUAGCGAACAGGAUUAGAUACCCUGGUAGUCCAUGCCGUAAACGAUGAAUGCUAGGUGUUGGAGGGUUUCCGCCCUUCAGUGCCGCAGCUAACGCAUUAAGCAUUCCGCCUGGGGAGUACGACCGCAAGGUUGAAACUCAAAGGAAUUGACGGGGGCCCGCACAAGCGGUGGAG